CCUACGGGAGGCAGCAGUGGGGAAUAUUGGACAAUGGGCGAAAGCCUGAUCCAGCAAUGCCGCGUGAGUGAUGAAGGCCUUAGGGUCGUAAAGCUCUUUUACCAGGGAUGAUAAUGACAGUACCUGGAGAAUAAGCUCCGGCUAACUCCGUGCCAGCAGCCGCGGUAAUACGGAGGGAGCUAGCGUUGUUCGGAAUUACUGGGCGUAAAGCGUGCGUAGGCGGUUAUUCAAGUCAGAGGUGAAAGCCCGGGGCUCAACCCCGGAACGGCCUUUGAAACUAGAUAACUAGAAUCUUGGAGAGGUCAGUGGAAUUCCGAGUGUAGAGGUGAAAUUCGUAGAUAUUCGGAAGAACACCAGUGGCGAAGGCGACUGACUGGACAAGUAUUGACGCUGAGGUACGAAAGCGUGGGGAGCAAACAGGAUUAGAUACCCUGGUAGUCCACGCCGUAAACGAUGAUAACUAGCUGUCCGGACACUUGGUGUUUGGGUGGCGCAGCUAACGCAUUAAGUUAUCCGCCUGGGGAGUACGGUCGCAAGNUUAAAACUUAAAUGAAUUGACGG
Molecule: ribosomal RNA, 561 nt
Filed under: uncultured bacterium
Lineage: Bacteria
Description: bacterial SSU rRNA
Rfam family: Bacterial small subunit ribosomal RNA
Source: RNAcentral